UGGGAGUGGCACCUGCCCUGUUCUACUCUGGUUACUAGGGAAGUAACAGACUCCUUGGAAAAAACAACGUUGAGAUGGAGAGGGAAAGGGUGAAACUGGGAAAUGCUAAAUCUGAAUUCAGAGUAUCUGGCCUCAUCAUUCAGCUCACAGGUAUUUUAAGGAAUAAAGGAAGUUGACGGGUGGAAAUCUGAAGGUGAAUUAAAUAAUUGGAAGUUAUGAUGAAUUGCCAUUCCAUCUGUGUAUUGCCUUUAAUCUCUGGCCACUGCAGCAGAUCUGACCCAAUUUAGCUGUUACUAUAUCCUUUCUGCAAAAAAAAUGAAUCUCAGAGAAAGCCAGGGCUGUUGCAUGACUUCCAUAACUCGCCGCAUGUUUGCCUGCCAUUUCCCAGCUCAUGAGCAUCUAUGGAGCCAAGUUUUAUCCAGGCCCUUUCAGUAACUAGUUUGGGUUGGAUUUCUGGGUUCUUUUAUCUAUGGCUUUCAUCAUCUGGCAAAAGAAGCUGACUCAGUGUUAGUUGCAACAAGUGGUUGCCUAUUUAGUGUGAUAUGCACGUGCUACCAAAGAGUUCUCGGUUGGGUUCCACAAUGGCUAUUUCCAUUGCAUCAAGCCUUACAGCUCCAGAAGGCAUCUCACAGCUAAAACAUACAGAUCACCCAGGAGAGAAGAAAGGUUGGUGUGAUUUGCAUAUUUGUAUCCAUUAAUCAACAUGUUGGCACAAAUUGGUUACCAGAGUAGCUGGCUGUAUUCUUGGAAAUCUGGAAACCAAGCCUGGAGGGGAAAGAACAGAACGCAAGGCUUCAGUGGUUAGAUAAGGGCAGACAGCGAGGAAAGCUUUUGGGUUUUCAAGUCCAGUCCUGGGUGAGUCUGCUGUGGGACACAUGGAGGAACCAGUAUCAGCAUCAGGGAACUGAUUUGUGGAGGAUAGGACCCUAAAGACACCAAGGUGUCUAAUGAUGGGUAGGAAUAUGGAUGAAUGUUCCUUUCUUCUUUGUACUUUUCAAAUUCUUUAAAUAUAUGUGAUGUGACAAAUGUCAUGAGAAAAAUAUUAACCAUACAGGAAUUUUAAAGGUCGAAAUUCUAUGAUUCCAUGCCUGACAUUUCAUGGUUGAAAGGAGCAACUAAGUGAUCAUUACAAGUAUGGUUACAGCCCAUGUAGGGUUUGAUGCCUUCUUCAUGGUUUUCUUGUUACAGUCACUUUAUUUUAUUGCCUCUCUGACUUAUUGUGUAUGUCCAUCAUCCCACUUUUCACCCCUAAGAUCCCACUUUAGCAUGACUCCUUCACUCUACCUUCUCUAGUGGCAUUCAUGGUACAAUUGUGGCUAUUUAAUUAAAAGACUAUUCACAGAACAUUUCUUUUUCCAAGGAGAAAAUGCCUAUGUCUAUUAAUGGAAGCCAAUCCUUAACCAAAUGUUAGUGGUUCAAUGCAGUUAGGACCCUCAAGUCAGAAAUUUAUAGGUAACUGAUUUAGUUCCUCAGUAUCUUUUUGCUCUGUAUAGACACAAGUUGUCUGAACCACCUUGAUCCAAUAAUUCUGGGAAUAAAUAAAUUUGAUCAGACUUGACUAGUGUAGCUGUCUACAUAGAUCCAAGGCUCCUUUUUCCUUUCAGCAGCUGUUGCCUGAGGCUGAGUUUCUGACUGGCGGUGGUUUGGUCAACCAUGUCAUUUCAGCCAGCUUCAAGCUGAAUUCAGGUAGCACAAGCCAAAAUGAUCAAUUAAGUCAGGAUACCCAAGACAUGAACUAGACUUUCAGCUUGGACACCAUAAAUCUAGACUUCUCAGGUCCUUAGUUAUGUCAUCUAGAAAAUGAGGAUAAAGGUUUUAGCCUAGUUAGUUAACUCAAGCUACUAUCAGGAUAAAAUUAGGUUGUAAAUAUUGCAAUCCUCUGAAAGUUAAAGUGCUGUAUACAUGAGCAGCACUUUCAUUAACAGACUGACCACUGCAUAAUCCAAUUAGCUCAGUCAAGAUUUAACCAGGCCUCAGAAGGAGAGAGCGUGUUACUGUGUGAGAACAGCCUGCUUAAGGGCCAUCCCUGGCGUCCAAUUUGCC
Gorilla gorilla gorilla (western lowland gorilla) is the source of this 2043-nucleotide long non-coding RNA. RefSeq lists it as uncharacterized. The transcript is spliced from 3 exons. NCBI's taxonomy places the organism in Eukaryota, Metazoa, Chordata, Mammalia, Primates, Hominidae. The record is from RefSeq and is a predicted model, not a curated record.